Long non-coding RNA from Bos taurus (domestic cattle), 1358 nucleotides. NCBI's taxonomy places the organism in Eukaryota, Metazoa, Chordata, Mammalia, Artiodactyla, Bovidae. The record is from Ensembl.
CAGGAUCUGUAUGAGCCACAGAACUAACCCUCAGGUCUACCCUCUCCGUACUGACUUCCUUAGGCAGAGGUGUGGCCUGCUUAUGCCCAAAUUCCCCCCAGCCAAGAGAGAGACCAAAGAGCCUGCGGAAUGCCUCUGCUCCCUGCCUCUAUCUUCAGGUCCAUAAAAAGAAGAGUAGAGACAGCCCAGAGUCCCCAGGUCUGCGAAGGGUCAGGAGGGGUCAAGAAAGGAGUAGGGAGGCUGAAGGAUACAGGGCAUUUGAAUCCAAAUCACUGCUCUGGGCUAGGGAAUAGAGCCAGCAGACAGAGGUGGAAGGGAUUCUGGAAGGGGGACCUUUCAGUCCCCCAAUCCCAAAGCUCAGGGUGGAAGGGGGUAGAACAAGGGAGCAGAGUGUCUAUAAUUAUUUUUAUCUUUUAUUUUUGGAAUCUAGCAGUACCUGGCAGCAGGGAGGGGAUGAUACAGUGGGGAAAAGCAUCUGACAAGGCCAGUUAGAGCAGAGGUUGGGAAGGAUGGAGACUUCCUGCUUUGGAAAGCUGGAAAGCAGGCAGGGACUGGUUGCCACUCCAGGUCACUAGCUGGGCCCAUUCAUUCCUUUCACAAUCCUGACCCAUCCUCCUCUGGACUCACUGUGCCUCAGUUUCUUCCCCUCGAUGGAACGAGAAAAUAGCAGCACCCGCCACAGCCAAGAGAUGAAUUCUGAGCACUUACCACGGGCACUUUAUGGACAUAAAAUACCUCUCGCUGUGGGACAGAUAACCAGGGCACCAGAGUAGUGGUGAAGAGAUGUGAGGCUUAGAGGAGUCACAGGCUUCAGAGUACAAGUUCCCCUCUGCCUCCCAGCUGGACAGUGCCUGACACCAAGGAGCUGAGAACCUUCUGAUCCAUACCCUAUCCAUACCUCACCUCCAGACCUCUUGGCUCCAGGCAGGAGACUACAGGAUGUCAGGAGUGGAGGGGGAAAGAACCUUCAGCAAAACGAACUCUGAGUAGAGCAUCAGUCAUGGGUCUGACGCAAACAAUACGGAACACAAGUAAAACCUGAGCUGGAAAGCUGACCUGGAAGGCUUGUUCUUCCCGAGAGCAUGACUUUCCUGCCUGGCCCAGCUGGUGGAAGGGGCAAAGGGUGUCUGAGGAGUAUGGGGCUGACAGGGGCACUGGAAUGCCGGGAAAGGACCUCUUCACUGAGAUCAAGGCUUCCUGAAGGGAACCAUUGCAAAAAGGCCAUCAGGCAGUUUUCAAGUUAUGUGACAGAGGGCAAAGAUGGCCAUAGGGUGCUCUGAGUUUUGGGAUGGUCACAUGACACAAUCCAGCACUUGAACCUGAAAAAAGAAAAAUAAAAGCAGUCAAAGAAUUUAGAA